Molecule: ribosomal RNA, 2905 nt
Filed under: Escherichia coli
Lineage: Bacteria; Pseudomonadati; Pseudomonadota; Gammaproteobacteria; Enterobacterales; Enterobacteriaceae
Description: 23S ribosomal RNA
Rfam family: Bacterial large subunit ribosomal RNA
Source: RNAcentral
GGUUAAGCGACUAAGCGUACACGGUGGAUGCCCUGGCAGUCAGAGGCGAUGAAGGACGUGCUAAUCUGCGAUAAGCGUCGGUAAGGUGAUAUGAACCGUUAUAACCGGCGAUUUCCGAAUGGGGAAACCCAGUGUGAUUCGUCACACUAUCAUUAACUGAAUCCAUAGGUUAAUGAGGCGAACCGGGGGAACUGAAACAUCUAAGUACCCCGAGGAAAAGAAAUCAACCGAGAUUCCCCCAGUAGCGGCGAGCGAACGGGGAGCAGCCCAGAGCCUGAAUCAGUGUGUGUGUUAGUGGAAGCGUCUGGAAAGGCGCGCGAUACAGGGUGACAGCCCCGUACACAAAAAUGCACAUGCUGUGAGCUCGAUGAGUAGGGCGGGACACGUGGUAUCCUGUCUGAAUAUGGGGGGACCAUCCUCCAAGGCUAAAUACUCCUGACUGACCGAUAGUGAACCAGUACCGUGAGGGAAAGGCGAAAAGAACCCCGGCGAGGGGAGUGAAAAAGAACCUGAAACCGUGUACGUACAAGCAGUGGGAGCACGCUUCGGCGUGUGACUGCGUACCUUUUGUAUAAUGGGUCAGCGACUUAUAUUCUGUAGCAAGGUUAACCGAAUAGGGGAGCCGAAGGGAAACCGAGUCUUAACUGGGCGUUAAGUUGCAGGGUAUAGACCCGAAACCCGGUGAUCUAGCCAUGGGCAGGUUGAAGGUUGGGUAACACUAACUGGAGGACCGAACCGACUAAUGUUGAAAAAUUAGCGGAUGACUUGUGGCUGGGGGUGAAAGGCCAAUCAAACCGGGAGAUAGCUGGUUCUCCCCGAAAGCUAUUUAGGUAGCGCCUCGUGAAUUCAUCUCCGGGGGUAGAGCACUGUUUCGGCAAGGGGGUCAUCCCGACUUACCAACCCGAUGCAAACUGCGAAUACCGGAGAAUGUUAUCACGGGAGACACACGGCGGGUGCUAACGUCCGUCGUGAAGAGGGAAACAACCCAGACCGCCAGCUAAGGUCCCAAAGUCAUGGUUAAGUGGGAAACGAUGUGGGAAGGCCCAGACAGCCAGGAUGUUGGCUUAGAAGCAGCCAUCAUUUAAAGAAAGCGUAAUAGCUCACUGGUCGAGUCGGCCUGCGCGGAAGAUGUAACGGGGCUAAACCAUGCACCGAAGCUGCGGCAGCGACACUAUGUGUUGUUGGGUAGGGGAGCGUUCUGUAAGCCUGUGAAGGUGUGCUGUGAGGCAUGCUGGAGGUAUCAGAAGUGCGAAUGCUGACAUAAGUAACGAUAAAGCGGGUGAAAAGCCCGCUCGCCGGAAGACCAAGGGUUCCUGUCCAACGUUAAUCGGGGCAGGGUGAGUCGACCCCUAAGGCGAGGCCGAAAGGCGUAGUCGAUGGGAAACAGGUUAAUAUUCCUGUACUUGGUGUUACUGCGAAGGGGGGACGGAGAAGGCUAUGUUGGCCGGGCGACGGUUGUCCCGGUUUAAGCGUGUAGGCUGGUUUUCCAGGCAAAUCCGGAAAAUCAAGGCUGAGGCGUGAUGACGAGGCACUACGGUGCUGAAGCAACAAAUGCCCUGCUUCCAGGAAAAGCCUCUAAGCAUCAGGUAACAUCAAAUCGUACCCCAAACCGACACAGGUGGUCAGGUAGAGAAUACCAAGGCGCUUGAGAGAACUCGGGUGAAGGAACUAGGCAAAAUGGUGCCGUAACUUCGGGAGAAGGCACGCUGAUAUGUAGGUGAAGCGACUUGCUCGUGGAGCUGAAAUCAGUCGAAGAUACCAGCUGGCUGCAACUGUUUAUUAAAAACACAGCACUGUGCAAACACGAAAGUGGACGUAUACGGUGUGACGCCUGCCCGGUGCCGGAAGGUUAAUUGAUGGGGUUAGCGGUAACGCGAAGCUCUUGAUCGAAGCCCCGGUAAACGGCGGCCGUAACUAUAACGGUCCUAAGGUAGCGAAAUUCCUUGUCGGGUAAGUUCCGACCUGCACGAAUGGCGUAAUGAUGGCCAGGCUGUCUCCACCCGAGACUCAGUGAAAUUGAACUCGCUGUGAAGAUGCAGUGUACCCGCGGCAAGACGGAAAGACCCCGUGAACCUUUACUAUAGCUUGACACUGAACAUUGAGCCUUGAUGUGUAGGAUAGGUGGGAGGCUUUGAAGUGUGGACGCCAGUCUGCAUGGAGCCGACCUUGAAAUACCACCCUUUAAUGUUUGAUGUUCUAACGUUGGCCCCUGAUCGGGGUUGCGGACAGUGUCUGGUGGGUAGUUUGACUGGGGCGGUCUCCUCCUAAAGAGUAACGGAGGAGCACGAAGGUUGGCUAAUCCUGGUCGGACAUCAGGAGGUUAGUGCAAUGGCAUAAGCCAGCUUGACUGCGAGCGUGACGGCGCGAGCAGGUGCGAAAGCAGGUCAUAGUGAUCCGGUGGUUCUGAAUGGAAGGGCCAUCGCUCAACGGAUAAAAGGUACUCCGGGGAUAACAGGCUGAUACCGCCCAAGAGUUCAUAUCGACGGCGGUGUUUGGCACCUCGAUGUCGGCUCAUCACAUCCUGGGGCUGAAGUAGGUCCCAAGGGUAUGGCUGUUCGCCAUUUAAAGUGGUACGCGAGCUGGGUUUAGAACGUCGUGAGACAGUUCGGUCCCUAUCUGCCGUGGGCGCUGGAGAACUGAGGGGGGCUGCUCCUAGUACGAGAGGACCGGAGUGGACGCAUCACUGGUGUUCGGGUUGUCAUGCCAAUGGCACUGCCCGGUAGCUAAAUGCGGAAGAGAUAAGUGCUGAAAGCAUCUAAGCACGAAACUUGCCCCGAGAUGAGUUCUCCCUGACUCCCUGAGAGUCCUGAAGGAACGUUGAAGACGACGACGUUGAUAGGCCGGGUGUGUAAGCGCAGCGAUGCGUUGAGCUAACCGGUACUAAUGAACCGUGAGGCUUAACCUU